Molecule: ribosomal RNA, 755 nt
Filed under: Salmonella enterica subsp. enterica
Lineage: Bacteria; Pseudomonadati; Pseudomonadota; Gammaproteobacteria; Enterobacterales; Enterobacteriaceae
Description: partial 23S ribosomal RNA
Rfam family: Bacterial large subunit ribosomal RNA
Source: RNAcentral
AUCAUUUAAAGAAAGCGUAAUAGCUCACUGGUCGAGUCGGCCUGCGCGGAAGAUGUAACGGGGCUAAACCAUGCACCGAAGCUGCGGCAGCGACACUCAGGUGUUGUUGGGUAGGGGAGCGUUCUGUAAGCCUGCGAAGGUGGCCUGUGAGGGUUGCUGGAGGUAUCAGAAGUGCGAAUGCUGACAUAAGUAACGAUAAAGCGGGUGAAAAGCCCGCUCGCCGGAAGACCAAGGGUUCCUGUCCAACGUUAAUCGGGGCAGGGUGAGUCGACCCCUAAGGCGAGGCCGAAAGGCGUAGUCGAUGGGAAACGGGUUAAUAUUCCCGUACUUGGUGUUACUGCGAAGGGGGGACGGAGAAGGCUAUGUUGGCCGGGCGACGGUUGUCCCGGUUUAAGCGUGUAGGUGUGUGUUCCAGGUAAAUCCGGUUCACUUUAACACUGAGGCGUGACGACGAGGCACUACGGUGCUGAAGCAACAAAUGCCCUGCUUCCAGGAAAAGCCUCUAAGCAUCAGGUAACAUCAAAUCGUACCCCAAACCGACACAGGUGGUCAGGUAGAGAAUACCAAGGCGCUUGAGAGAACUCGGGUGAAGGAACUAGGCAAAAUGGUGCCGUAACUUCGGGAGAAGGCACGCUGACAUGUAGGUGAAGUGAUUUACUCAUGGAGCUGAAGUCAGUCGAAGAUACCAGCUGGCUGCAACUGUUUAUUAAAAACACAGCACUGUGCAAACACGAAAGUGGACGUAUACGGUGUGA